Molecule: long non-coding RNA, 817 nt
Filed under: Zostera marina
Lineage: Eukaryota; Viridiplantae; Streptophyta; Magnoliopsida; Alismatales; Zosteraceae
Description: long non-coding RNA (ZMAR_LNC002509)
Source: RNAcentral
AGAAAGAGAAGUGAAAAUAAUUCAUAUAGCAUUAUCUCAUUUGAAUCUAUCAUUAUAUGUAUAUCAACAUUUUUUGUUAAAUACUCAAAAUAAGAUAUUUUGUGAGAUAUUAGUAGAUUCGUGGUAUCACGACUUCAUGAAGAUUUAGAUAUUAAUGAAAAGAUCACCGACGACGACAUAAACACCGACGAGGAGUUUGACUGUAGGCCCGUCCGAACCAGGCGUAACAAACUGGACAAUAAUUACAUCUAUUAUUAAAUCUAAUUCUAUUGCAAUUAAUUAGAGUUGUUAUGAAUUGGUGGCCAUGGAAAUAGAAAAGACACCCAUUUUUGGGUAUCCAAUUUAUCGAACAAUCAAAAUCCUUCUCGUCUCUGGCUUCCUCGAGAGAAUUCAUGUCCAACCUCCGACUCCCAUUGGGAGAAUACCCUCUGUCGUGUGUUUCUCCUGAAUCACUUACAACUCUUAAGGAAUUGAUCAAUUUAAGGAAUCACUUCACCUGGGAAGAAGUGUGUCUCUGGUCCAGCGAUUAGUGAAUCACGGAUACCUAGAGACGAGCGCAGCGAGGAUAUACCUCUGAUAUCAAGACUCAGUCCGUUACAGAGGAUAGUUGUGAAGCUGUCUGUUCGGAAACUUGAUGCGACUGGAUGAAUGACGAGUGCGAAAGCGACGGUGGAUGAAUUCUUAUCUACUGUCGGAGGAGAUGGAGGUGGUUGAUAAAAAAAAUAAAACUGUUUUAGAAAAGAUUGGUUGCUUUUUUCAUUCACUCAUAAAAUGCUUAAAUAGAUCAAAGUUAGUAACCGUUGGAAGUUACUUCCAU